This 567-nucleotide long non-coding RNA is filed under the name Homo sapiens (human). RNAcentral's name for it is "long independently transcribed non-coding RNA 1727 (LINC01727)". The record is from RNAcentral. Lineage: Eukaryota; Metazoa; Chordata; Mammalia; Primates; Hominidae.
AGAUAGAUUUAGCUGGUGGUGCAGAGAUCCGUGAGCUUGCUUUUACAGGACUUUAAUGAUAUAUAAAAGCAGCACGAGGUGCUCCUGACUGUGGAUUAAUUUGGAGAUGACUUUCUCUGUUGAAGAGUAGCAAGACUCUCGCGAGUUCUUAAAAAUGCACUUGUUUGGUAUGAGAAUGAAAAGCAGUGGCUGAAGAACCAAUCUUCAAUGGGCAAGCCUUCUCUGUGUCUGUUCUAACACGUGCCAUUUGGGAUCCCUUGGAAUCUUCAUGUACAGAACUGGUUGCUGCCUCGUUGAGUCGGUGGGGACAGAAUAGCUCCUGGUUGACAGCAUGGGUUGUGCAGAAGGACGGAUCCUGCAGACAUCAAUAUCUGGCUUUGAGUGGCACAAAGAAAUAAAGGAAUGUGGAUUCAGACCUCACUGGGAUGCUUGGCAAUUCUAAUUCUACCCCAGACUGCAAAUGGACACACAACUGUUGUGACUUUUGUUGAAGAGGAGAAGGAUGGCACAGAAGCUGGAUUCAGAAGCACACAGGUCUGGGGAUGCAGGCUUCGGCCAGCCUGAUGC